This 357-nucleotide ribosomal RNA is filed under the name uncultured bacterium. RNAcentral describes it as "partial 16S ribosomal RNA". It matches the Rfam family "Bacterial small subunit ribosomal RNA", at positions 338 to 692 of the family's 1533-position model. The record is from RNAcentral.
CCUACGGGAGGCAGCAGUGAGGAAUAUUGGUCAAUGGGCGCGAGCCUGAACCAGCCAAGUAGCGUGAAGGAUGACUGCCCUACGGGUUGUAACCUUCUUUUAUAAAGGAAUAAAGUGAGGCACGUGUGCCGUUUUGUCUGUACUUUAUGAAUAAGGAUCGGCUAACUCCGUGCCAGCAGCCGCGGUAAUACGGAGGAUCCGAGCGUUAUCCGGAUUUAUUGGGUUUAAAGGGAGCGUAGAUGGGUUGUUAAGUCAGUUGUGGAAGUUUGGGGCUCAACCGUAAAAUUGCAAUUGAUACUGGCAGUCUUGGGUACAGUUGGGGUAGGCGGAAUUCGUGGGGUAGCGGUGGAAUGCUUA